AGGUCAUGACAGACAGUUCAACUCUCAUCCCACUCAUGGCACUUUUUGUUAUAAAUGUUGUCUCAAACAUAGUCCAGCAUCGACGAACCAUCAGUUUGGAAGGGUUACCGAUAUUUGUUCGCGACGACGAGACCAAACUCUUCUUAACAUGUCUGGAUACAGAUCCAGUUGAGAGGGCAACCCGAGG
Pelmatolapia mariae (spotted tilapia) is the source of this 187-nucleotide long non-coding RNA. RefSeq lists it as uncharacterized. Lineage: Eukaryota; Metazoa; Chordata; Actinopteri; Cichliformes; Cichlidae. The record is from RefSeq and is a predicted model, not a curated record. The transcript has 3 exons.